Molecule: ribosomal RNA, 301 nt
Filed under: uncultured bacterium
Lineage: Bacteria
Description: partial 16S ribosomal RNA
Rfam family: Bacterial small subunit ribosomal RNA
Source: RNAcentral
CAGUAGCCGCGGGAAUACGUAGGUCCCGAGCGUUGUCCGGAUUUAUUGGGCGUAAAGCGAGCGCAGGCGGUUAGAUAAGUCUGAAGUUAAAGGCUGUGGCUUAACCAUAGUACGCUUUGGAAACUGUAUAACUUGAGUGCAAGAGGGGAGAGUGGAAUUCCAUGUGUAGCGGUGAAAUGCGUAGAUAUAUGGAGGAACACCGGUGGCGAAAGCGGCUCUCUGGCUUGUAACUGACGCUGAGGCUCGAAAGCGUGGGGAGCAAACAGGAUUAGAUACCCCGGUAGUCCCUGUCUCUUAUACA